UAUUGGACAAUGGUCGCAAGACUGAUCCAGCCAUGCCGCGUGCAGGAAGACGGCCCUAUGGGUUGUAAACUGCUUUUGUACCAGAGAAAACCUAUCUACGUGUAGAUAGCUGAUAGUAUGGUAAGAAUAGGCAUCGGCUAACUUCGUGCCAGCAGCCGCGGUAAGACGAAGGAUGCAAGCGUUAUCCGGAUUCAUUGGGUUUAAAGGGUGCGUAGGUGGGCUUAUAAGUCAGUGGUGAAAUCUCCGAGCUUAACUUGGAAACUGCCGUUGAUACUAUAGGUCUUGAAUUAUCUGGAUGUGAGCGGAAUAUGUCAUGUAGCGGUGAAAUGCUUUGAUAUGACAUAGAACACCAAUUGCGAAGGCAGCUUACUACAUAUAAAGUGACGCUGAGGCACG
This 396-nucleotide ribosomal RNA is filed under the name uncultured bacterium. RNAcentral's name for it is "bacterial SSU rRNA". It matches the Rfam family "Bacterial small subunit ribosomal RNA", at positions 362 to 755 of the family's 1533-position model. The record is from RNAcentral.